ACUAACCCUAGAGUCAUUGCAGGUGUGGCUUCUGUGUGUCAUGUGUGUCAGUAGGUGGCAGAGAAAGGCUAUGUCUACCCUCAGUGUUCUGACCUACAAAAGUCUGAAUGGUUAGCAGCCUGACACU
Molecule: small nucleolar RNA, 127 nt
Organism: Arvicanthis niloticus (Nile rat)
Lineage: Eukaryota; Metazoa; Chordata; Mammalia; Rodentia; Muridae
Product: small nucleolar RNA SNORA17
Source: RefSeq, a predicted model, not a curated record